AGUGAACGCUGGCGGUAUGCCUAACACAUGCAAGUCGAACGGCAGCACAGUAAGAGCUUGCCCUUACGGGUGGCGAGUGGCGGACGGGUGAGGAAUACAUCGGAAUCCACUAUUUCGUGGGGGAUAACGUAGGGCAACUUAUGCUAAUACCGCAUAUGUUGUACGGGUGAAAGCAGGAGAUCUUCGGACUUUUCGCGACUGAAUGAGCCGAUGUCGGACUAGCUAGUUGGCGGGGUAAAGGCCCACCAAGGCGACGAUACGUAGCUGAUCUGAGAGGAUGAUCGGCCACACUGGAACUGAGACACGGUCCAGACUCCUACGGGAGGCAGCAGUGGGGAAUAUUGGACAAUGGGCGCAAGCCUGAUGCAGCCAUACCGCGUGGGUGAAGAAGGCCUUCGGAUUGUAAAGCUCUUUUAUUGGGAAAGAAAAGAAGUAGGUUAAUCCCCCGAUGUUCUGACGGUACCCAAACAGUAAGCACCGGCUAACUUCGUG
RNAcentral lists this ribosomal RNA (492 nucleotides) under uncultured bacterium. RNAcentral describes it as "partial 16S ribosomal RNA". It matches the Rfam family "Bacterial small subunit ribosomal RNA", at positions 29 to 507 of the family's 1533-position model. The record is from RNAcentral.